UGAGCGUGAGAUGACCGGAGAAUAAGCAUGCAUAUUCCAAUGACCAUAUCGUGAGUUGUUAUUCUCUUUAGAGAAUCUCUAAUUCGUUGUUAUUUUUAUUUCUAUAAUAGCAAUUAGAAUUAAAAGUAUUUCAACCCAAUUUCAUUUCUUUUUUUAUAAUAAAAAUUGUUAUUUUUUUUCUAUUUAUAAAGUAAAAAAUAGUAUUUCUCUAUUUUUAUUAUGUAUUUAAAUAUUAUUAUUCUAGAAGAAUACAUUGGAAUAUAUCUCAAUUUUACUAUAGAAUUCUUCUAAUUUAGAAAUAAAAAUAGUAAAAAUACAUUAGAUAUAAUGUAAAUUAUAGCAGAUAUGCAGUUUACAUUAGAUAUGCAGUUUAUUUAAUACUUUGUUUACUACAUGAUAAGCGUUGUCCAAAUAUGCGCGCAGAUUACUCCCAU
Molecule: long non-coding RNA, 434 nt
Filed under: Brassica napus (rape)
Lineage: Eukaryota; Viridiplantae; Streptophyta; Magnoliopsida; Brassicales; Brassicaceae
Description: long non-coding RNA (BNAP_LNC006194)
Source: RNAcentral